Molecule: ribosomal RNA, 497 nt
Filed under: uncultured bacterium
Lineage: Bacteria
Description: partial 16S ribosomal RNA
Rfam family: Bacterial small subunit ribosomal RNA
Source: RNAcentral
GAUGAACGCUGGCGGCGUGCCUAAUACAUGCAAGUCGAGCGAACAGACGAGGAGCUUGCUUCUCUGACGUUAGCGGCGGACGGGUGAGUAACACGUGGAUAACCUACCUAUAAGACUGGGAUAACUUCGGGAAACCGGAGCUAAUACCGGAUAAUAUAUUGAACCGCAUGGUUCAAUAGUGAAAGACGGUUUUGCUGUCACUUAUAGAUGGAUCCGCGCCGCAUUAGCUAGUUGGUAAGGUAACGGCUUACCAAGGCAACGAUGCGUAGCCGACCUGAGAGGGUGAUCGGCCACACUGGAACUGAGACACGGUCCAGACUCCUACGGGAGGCAGCAGUAGGGAAUCUUCCGCAAUGGGCGAAAGCCUGACGGAGCAACGCCGCGUGAGUGAUGAAGGUCUUCGGAUCGUAAAACUCUGUUAUUAGGGAAGAACAAAUGUGUAAGUAACUAUGCACGUCUUGACGGUACCUAAUCAGAAAGCCACGGCUAGCUACGUG